Molecule: ribosomal RNA, 546 nt
Filed under: Neptis hylas
Lineage: Eukaryota; Metazoa; Arthropoda; Insecta; Lepidoptera; Nymphalidae
Description: partial 16S ribosomal RNA
Rfam family: Archaeal large subunit ribosomal RNA
Source: RNAcentral
CUCGCCCUUUUUUUCAAAACAUGUCUUUUAGAUUAAUAAUUUAAAGUCUGAUCUGCCCACUGAUAUAAAAAUUAAAGGGCUGCAGUAUAUUGACUGUACAAAGGUAGCAUAAUCAAUAGUCUUUUAAUUGAAGACUUGUAUGAAAGAUUUGAUGAAAAAUAAGCUGUCUCUGAUUUAAAAUUAGAAUUUAAUUUUUUAGUUAAAAAGCUAAAAUUUAUUUAAAAGACGAGAAGACCCUAUAGAGUUUUAUAUUAUUUUUAUUUAAGAUUAUAUUUAUAAUUAAUAAUUAAAAAUAAUAAUAAUAUUUUAUUGGGGUGAUAGAAAAAUUAAAAUAACUUUUUUUAAAUUAAAACAUAAAUAAGUGAAAUUAUGAUCCAUAAUUAAUGAUUAAAAGAAAAAAUUACCUUAGGGAUAACAGCGUAAUAUUUUUUUUUAGUACAAAUAAGAAAAAAAGUUUGCGACCUCGAUGUUGGAUUAAGAUAAAAGUUAAAUGCAAAAGUUUAAAUUUUUGAUCUGUUCGAUCAUUAAAAUCUUACAUGAUCUGAG